Non-coding RNA from Onthophagus taurus, 1389 nucleotides. The record is from RefSeq and is a predicted model, not a curated record. NCBI's taxonomy places the organism in Eukaryota, Metazoa, Arthropoda, Insecta, Coleoptera, Scarabaeidae.
AACUCUCUGAAUUAUUUAAAAACAACAUUCAAAGCUCCUAUGUUAUUAGUGAGUAUGCCACAAUAGACGAAAAAUUGGAACCUUUUAGGGGAAGAUGCUCGUUUAGGCAGUACAUAAAGAGUAAGCCAGCAAGAUAUGGCAUAAAAAUUUUUCUUUUGACUGACAGUCUAUGAUACGAACAACUUUGAACGACGUUUAGCUUUAAUUCAACUUUAACAGCUUGUAUUUUAACUUUCCUCCGUAGAUGAUAGAUGGAAUUUAAGAAAGAGGUUAAUGAAAAUCAACAGCUUCUUAGAAGAAUCUAAAUUUAUCUUCAGGCCACCUCAUUGAUUCCUUCCUAUUCAUCAUCAACAAUCAACAAUGCAUGUUUUAAUGAUGAUGCGACAAUCUCAAUCAAGAUUCUCGAUGCAGACAACGAAGGGAAUUUGCAACAUUAACCUUGUUACAAGGUGCAGCGUCCCAGAUCGAAUCGAAUUACGUUUGGAAAUACGCAAACAGAGACCCACCCCGUAGAGAGAGGUACCUUUAAAAAGGAAAACGGCGCCUUUCGAACCGAUUUCCCGUCGACGACGAGGCAACGGCAAACGUCGAUAAACGGGGCUCACCCCCCAACCAUCGGAUACAAAUUGGAACGCGCGGGGUUAAACAGCUCGUUACCCCCCGAUACCGGUCGAAAUUACAGACUCGCGCAAGAAAACGGGUUAGGGGAGUUUCAAAUUUCUAAGGAUCACCCCGAUGAUCACGAUGACGGAUUAACUAACGCGCCGUAAUCAUCCUCAAUUACGCCCACGGGGGCGCAAAAAUUGAUACCGGUACCCCGAUUACCAUAACAAAUUUUCGAUUCAUACUGGGACACAAAAAAAAUUUACAUUCCAUACCCCCAAAGCGGACGAACAAACUUGCCUUCAUCGAUUACUUACCAAAAAUAAAUCGAAACGUCCGAAACUCCUCGAGGAGAACUUGAAGGACCAGAUGCCGUGUGUUGAUGGCACUCUACGAAAUUGGGCUCGAAUAUUAGAACCUCCCUCACAAUAUAAAUUGAUCUUUAAGAAUCGUCUUUAAAAGGAUUAUUAUAAACAUAAAAAAAUGUUUUACCUUGAUCCUUGGGGACUCUCAUAUUAUCCCGGAAGAAUUUAUUUACCGGUUGGUGUAGAUGUGGUAAAAAUCGCCUGUUUGAAGCUCCUGGUUCAUUCAACCCAUUUGAGAUUAUCACAAUCCUUCAAAUUCACUUCAAUGUUGUUCAUCCACCGACGAAACAUAAUUAUUGAAGAAUAGCAGUGUCGCCUAAAAACGAUCAACCUAACCUAUAAAUUGUUUAUUUUAUAGCCACACGCAUAAAAUCAAUCUGAUAAAACGACCCAAACGUUUUUAUUUACCAUAUACGAUGUU